UACGUAGGGUGCAAGCGUUGUCCGGAAUUAUUGGGCGUAAAGAGCUCGUAGGCGGUUUGUCGCGUCUGCUGUGAAAACUCGGGGCUUAACCCCGGGCCUGCAGUGGGUACGGGCAGACUAGAGUGCGGUAGGGGAGACUGGAAUUCCUGGUGUAGCGGUGGAAUGCGCAGAUAUCAGGAGGAACACCGAUAGCGAAGGCAGCUCGCUGGGACGGUAUUGACGCUAAGGCGCGAAAGCGUGGGGAGCAAACAGG
Molecule: ribosomal RNA, 253 nt
Filed under: uncultured bacterium
Lineage: Bacteria
Description: partial 16S ribosomal RNA
Rfam family: Bacterial small subunit ribosomal RNA
Source: RNAcentral